CAAUCGGGCAACGGAAGGAGAUCAUUCACGAUUUCGUAGUCAUACGUCUUCCUUAAACGCCGCCGUCGCGUUCGUCUUCUUCGCAGCGCUAAAACUCUCUUGGGGGAGUUUCACUGUUUUUUUCCUCUGGAAACCUUAGUUGGCGGACAAUGGCGAGCCUCGUGCAUACGUUAACCAAAAACAGAGCCACUUUUAGCAUCGGUACGGCACUCGAAGCUCAUCUUCUACCGAAACCCGGACGUUCUCUUCGCUCCCAACGCUUUCAAACCGGAGCUAACAGAAAACCAGAUUUCUCUUUUGGCUACUACUAGUAGCGGAGGAGACAAGGAUGAAGAAGCUUCUAGGUGCUUUCCCCAAUUUUCCAUUUGGGUAUUGCUUGAAUCCUGUUUCUGCGACUUGGGCUGAGAAUUUGGGUGUGCCCGAGAGAGAGGAGGUGGCAUCCAAUGAUGAUGCCCGGACGGUUUGGGCUGAUAGUUCGAAGAAGAAGAGGAAGAGGAAGAUGAACAAUCAUACGUAUAAGAAGCUUGGGAAGCGUCUUCGUCGAAAGGCGAGAGCUUGAUGCUGUUGUCGUGGAGGAAUAAAAUUUGGGGGUGAUGUUUAUCAUAGAGAAGUUUCACUUAUAGAAGUCAAUCUCUCCUGAGUUUGCUUCCAACAAUUGAACCUAAUGUGCUGAAACAACUUUCACAUGGGACACAGGUGAGAUGAAAGACGAUGAAGAAUAUAGAAAUCUGAUACGCAUCUUUGAAAGCAGCCACCUAGACAACUCGAAGGUUAUCAGGGCAUUGCUUUCUCCUAAAAACGAAAGUAAAGUACUAGUGAUUGGUAAUGACAUGGAAAAGAGACCAGUGUCAAUUGACGUACUAAGAAGAAAGCAUGUGCUACUGAUAAUAUCGGAUCUCAAUCUCCCCUCUAAAGAAAUUGAAGUGGUUGUCAAUGUGUAUGGGAUGAGGCAUGAUAUUCAAUGUGAAAUGGUCUGGAUCCCUGUUGUGGGCAAGCUAAACGGUUGGCAGGAACAAAAUCAAUACAAAUUUGCUGAGUUGCAGGCAGUGAUGCCAUGGUACACCGUGACCACCCCUCUGGUAAUCGAACCGACGGUGAUCAGGUAUAUCAAAGAGUACUGGAAUUUUGAUAAGAAACGAUUCUAGUGGCAUUGGAUCCACUAGGAAAGGUAUCCUCCAAAAAUGCAUACCAUAUGGUUUGGAUUUGGGGCAAUUCGGCCUUUCCUUUCAGUGAUGAGAAAGAGCAAGCAAUCUGGAGGGCAGAGAGAUGGAGACUUGAGCUACUUGUUGAUGGAAUUGAAGAAGAUAUACUAGAAUGGAUAAAAGAAAAUAUAUACAUAUGUGUGUACGGAGGUGAUAAUACUGACUGGAUCAGGGAUUUCACAACCAAAGCAAAAAAUGUUGCAAAAGCUCUUUAACAUAACCAUAGAAUUGAUUUAUGCUGGAAAAAGCAACACUUCCAAGAAGAGGUUUGAGAGAAUAUAUGAAGUUAUUGAGGAGGAAAAACUUAGUCUCUUCUGGCCUGAUUACACAUCCACCUGGUUCUUCUGGACCCGGCUAGAGAGCAUGCAGAUCUCAAAGACUAGACAUGGCAAGACUGUUGAGAACGAUCAGAUUAUGAAGGAAAUCCAGACCAUACUUGGCUAUGAUGGCAGUGACCAAGGAUGGAUGAUGCUCUGCAGAGGAGCAGCUGAGAUGGCCAGAGCCACUGGAAAGUUGGCUGUUUCGACCCUCAAUGAAUUUAAUUCUUGGCAAAUUAAAGCUUUGGAGUUGGGUUUGGUGCCUGCAAUUGUUGAUGAACUGAAAAGACGUCGCACCAGAGAACACUGCAAUCACCUGGUCAUGCCAGGGAAUUUGGAUGUCUCCGGGACGGUGAUCUGCGCAGAUUGUAGCCGCGAAAUGGAGAAGUAUUUCUUUUACCGCAAUGACACUUAAUAAAAAAGCUAGUAUAAGCAGGAUUUGUGCGUCAGUGCUUGUUUGUUGUGAAGGUUCAUCUGUUAUGUUGCUUUGGUUUUUAAUAUUUGUGUGAUUUUCUUCCACAAGAGCUAGGCUUGCUACUUAAUAUAACAUCUUAAAAAAACAUGCUAGUAUGAUAGAAACAGAGAUCCCACAAUGGAAGAGAAACACUAUGUAUUUGUCAAUUGUGUCUGACAGUGAAGCCUUUUACAUGGUGAAGGUAUUAGUAAUGAGGUGCAUUGAAAAUUUGCACAACCAGGCUGAUGACAAAACAAAUUUAAGAGCAAUAACAAUAGAACAGGAGUAAAAGAAAACCAAUAAACCUUUUUUGUUCUUUGAAACUACAAAUGCCUACAUGAAUAUAUAUUUGCAGCAAUGC
Long non-coding RNA from Ziziphus jujuba (common jujube), 2334 nucleotides. RefSeq lists it as uncharacterized. The transcript has 4 exons. NCBI's taxonomy places the organism in Eukaryota, Viridiplantae, Streptophyta, Magnoliopsida, Rosales, Rhamnaceae. The record is from RefSeq and is a predicted model, not a curated record.